RNAcentral lists this long non-coding RNA (638 nucleotides) under Brassica napus (rape). RNAcentral's name for it is "long non-coding RNA (BNAP_LNC023430)". Lineage: Eukaryota; Viridiplantae; Streptophyta; Magnoliopsida; Brassicales; Brassicaceae. The record is from RNAcentral.
UUCGAAAUGAGCCCCAAUGGCAUCUAUAGCAUGACCAGCUUGUCCAUGGAAUCCAAGAAGCUUUCCUCCAUUUUCACUUUUUAGAUUGAAUUCUUCUCCACUCAUCUCACCGAAUAAUGCAGAGGUAAAUCCUUUCGAGGUUGUGAAGUAUAGCGAUGUGAUAAGCGUUGUAUCGUAGUUGAAUAUAUGAUUAUAGCUUCCACCAACGGCUGUGAUAUAAUCAUUCGGAUUAUUCACGGAAAACUGGAUUUCAUUUUCCAUCACGAAAAAAAACUAAUGAUGAAGUUCUUCAAAGAAAACCAAUCGAAUAUGAAUGUUAACCAAAAUCACAAAUUUAUUUAUUUGUUUUGACCUCUUUUAGCUCCCCCCGAUUUGUCCCGUGUUCACGGAUUUCGACUUUUCCAUCCUUUACGUAUUCGAUCUUGAUAUAAGUUACGCUGUAUAUGUCUUUCCCCACAGUUAUUUUCUGCACACCAUCGAAAAUACCAUCAUCAAAUGUGUUUCCCUUCUCACCACCGACCGGUCCUAUCUGUGUGGUAGUGGGAGCUGGAGCUGGAGCUGGAGUGGCACUGGUACCGGGAGCAGCAGCGGGAGCUGGAUGGGGACCUUGGCCGGGAGCAGGACCGGGAGCUGGACGG